GAUGAACGCUGGCGGCGUGCUUAACACAUGCAAGUCGAACGGAAAGGCCCAAGCUUGCUUGGGUACUCGAGUGGCGAACGGGUGAGUAACACGUGGGUGAUCUGCCCUGCACUUCGGGAUAAGCCUGGGAAACUGGGUCUAAUACCGGAUAGGACCACAUUUUGGAUGGUGUGGUGGAAAGUUUUUCGGUGUGGGAUGAGCUCGCGGCCUAUCAGCUUGUUGGUGGGGUAAUGGCCUACCAAGGCGUCGACGGGUAGCCGGCCUGAGAGGGUGUACGGCCAAAUUGGGGCGGGGAAACGGCCCAACUCCCGCGGGGGGGGAGAAGGGGGGAAGUUUGCACAAUGGGCGAAGGCCUGAUGAAGGGGGGCCGGGGGGGGGAUGAGGCCCUUGGGUUUUAAAACCCCUUUGGCAAGGGAGGAGGCGUUUUUGGGAGGGUACCGGGAAAAGAAGCACCGGCUAACUACGU
RNAcentral lists this ribosomal RNA (466 nucleotides) under uncultured bacterium. RNAcentral's name for it is "partial 16S ribosomal RNA". It matches the Rfam family "Bacterial small subunit ribosomal RNA", at positions 28 to 506 of the family's 1533-position model. The record is from RNAcentral.